AUAGUAUCAAUAAUAUCAAGCCUUUAAUAUUAUUGAAAUUUUCGCCGUUAGAGUUACCCCUCUAAUAUUUUUUAUCUGCUAGAGAAUAACUAUCAUUCUAACUGUAUAUCUAUUCGUCCAAAAGUCGAAAACCUAAUAACACCAAGCGCAAUUGGCUUGGUUCUAUUAAUAGUAUAAUAUGCUAAUUCAUAUAUAUAUAUAUAUAU
RNAcentral lists this long non-coding RNA (206 nucleotides) under Ananas comosus (pineapple). Its description in RNAcentral is "long non-coding RNA (ACOM_LNC006447)". The record is from RNAcentral. Lineage: Eukaryota; Viridiplantae; Streptophyta; Magnoliopsida; Poales; Bromeliaceae.